This 250-nucleotide ribosomal RNA is filed under the name uncultured bacterium. RNAcentral describes it as "partial 16S ribosomal RNA". It matches the Rfam family "Bacterial small subunit ribosomal RNA", at positions 810 to 1058 of the family's 1533-position model. The record is from RNAcentral.
UGAGUGCUAGGUGUUGGAGGGUUUCCGCCCUUCAGUGCCGGAGCUAACGCAUUAAGCACUCCGCCUGGGGAGUACGACCGCAAGGUUGAAACUCAAAGGAAUUGACGGGGGCCCGCACAAGCGGUGGAGCAUGUGGUUUAAUUCGAAGCUACGCGAAGAACCUUACCAGGUCUUGACAUCUUGCGCUAACCUAAGAGAUUAGGCGUUCCCUUCGGGGACGCAAUGACAGGUGGUGCAUGGCUGUCGUCAG